This 106-nucleotide ribosomal RNA is filed under the name Octodon degus (degu). The record is from RNAcentral. Lineage: Eukaryota; Metazoa; Chordata; Mammalia; Rodentia; Octodontidae.
GGCCAUACCACCCUGAUUGCGCCCUAUCUCGUCUGAUCUCGGAAGCUAAGCAGGGUCAGGCCUGCUUAGUACUUGGAUGGGAGAACUGCUUUGAAAGCUAAUUACC